Molecule: long non-coding RNA, 1986 nt
Filed under: Homo sapiens (human)
Lineage: Eukaryota; Metazoa; Chordata; Mammalia; Primates; Hominidae
Description: non-protein coding lnc-BCL7A-3:1
Source: RNAcentral
CAAAGCAAAAAUUGCACAUUUUUCUUGCAUAAAUGGAUCAGAAAGAUGGUUCUGGGCAUUUCAGAUGCACUCCUGAGUAACUGCCUUAUGGUAGAGAUAUGCUGUUUCUGAAAGGCGCACUCCUCAUGGAAGUUUGAUGUUGGUUGGAGCAUGGGUCUUGCAACCAUGGUGUUGAAUUGGACGGACUGGGGCUGCCGUCUCAGCCCUGACCCUUGCUAGGUGAGGACCAGCCUCGUAGGAUUUUUUUCUUUUUUUUUUUUUUUGAGGUGGAGUCUCCCUCUGUCACGCAGGUUGGACUGCAGUGGCACAAUUUUGGCUCACUGCAACCUCCACCUCCUAGGUUCAAGCGGUUCUCCUGGCUCAGCCUUCCGAGUAGCUGGGAUUACAGACACCCACCACCACGCCCCGCUAAUUUUUGUAUUUUUAGUAGAGACGAGGCUUCACGAUGUUGGUCAGACUGGUCUCAAACUCCUGACCUCAAGUGAUCUGCCCGCCUCGGCCUCCCAAAGUGCUGUCAUUACAGGCAUGAGCGACCACUCCCGGCCAGCCUUAUAGGAUUUGAGGAGGGGAUUGAUGCCUACGCAGCCCUGGGCACGGUGCUGGGUGCACAGGAAGAGCUCAGUGAAUGGAGGGAGUUAUUAUCCUUGUUAGUCUCGCUGUCUAGUUGCUCUUAACCUAGCAGGUGUUAAUGGGGCACCUUUGGAAGCUGGGUGCUUGUCUGGACUGUGGAGCACGGAGGGUGCAGCCGUCCCUCAUGACCGUGCUGCAGAAGCACCCCUAGAUGCAAGAAGCCCCAAGCAGAGUCAAGAAGCAUCUCAGGGAAAUGUUCCUCAUGUAAACUGUUGUUUAAAGUGCAGGUAAGCCGGUUGUGGCAGCUCACGCCUAUAAUCCAAACACUUUGGGAUGCCAAGUUGGGGAGGAUCACUUGAGCCCAGGAGUUUGAGAGCAGCCAGGGUAACAUAGAGAGAUCCUAUCUAUACCCAUCCCCCCCAAAAAAUUGCCCGGUGUGGUGGCCCAUGCUUGUGGUCCCAGCUGCUCAGGAGGCCAUGGCAGGAGGAUCACUUGAGCCCCAGAGGUGGAGGCUUCAGUGCCCGUGAUUGUGCCACUGCACUCCAGCCUGGGAGACAGAGCGAGACCCUGUCUCAAAAAAAUUAAUAAAUAAAUAAAGUACAAUUUAUUGUAUUUCUUCUGACUUUUAUUAAUAUUUUCCUGUUUUAUACAUAUUUAUAUAAUCAUAUAUAUAAUCAUGCAUCAUUUAAUGUUGGGGAGAUGUUCUGAGAACUGUGUCAUUAAGCAACAUCGUUAUUGUGUGAACAUCAUAGAGUGUCCUUAUACAAACACAGAUGGCAGAGCCUACUACACGCCUGGGCCGUAUGGUAGAGCCUGUUGCUCCUAGGCUAUAAACCUGAACAGCAUGCGGCUGUACUGCAUAUUGUAGUCAGUGGUAACACAGUGGUAUUUGUGUAUCCAUCAUAUAUGCAAUCUGUCAUUGCAAUAUUAUUAAGUGCAGUGAGUCCCAGCUACUUGGGAGGCUGAGGCAAGAGAAUCGCUUGAACCCAGGAGGCGGAGGUUGCAGUGAGCCAAGAUCACACCACAGCACUCCAGCCUGGGCGACAGAGCGAAACUCUCCUCAAAAAAUAAAAAACUGGCCGGGUGUGGUGGCUCAGACCUGUAAUCCCAGCACUUUGGGAGGCCAAGGCGGGCGCGGUGGCUCACGCCUGUAAUCCCAGCACUUUGGGAGGCCGAGGCGGGUGGAUCACGAGGUCAGGAGAUCGAGACCAUCCUGGCUAACACGGUGAAACCCCGUCUCUACUAAAAAAAUACAAAAAAUAAGCCGAGCGUGGUGGCGGGUGCCUAUAGUCCCAGCUACUCAGGAGGCUGAGGCAGGAGAAUGGCGUGAACCCGGGAGGCGGAGCUUACAGUGAGCCGAGAUCGUGCCACUGCACUCCAGCCUGGGCGACAGAGCAAGACUCUGUCUCAAAAAAA